AACGAACGCUGGCGGCGUGCUUAAGACAUGCAAGUCGAACGGAAAGGCCUGGUAACUUCGGUUAUCGGGCACUCGAGUGGCGCACGGGUGAGUAACGCGUGGGUAAACUGCCUUCGGGUCUGGGACAACCCCGGGAAACUGGGGCUAAUACCGGAUGAGACCACAGCGUCUUCGGACGCAGUGGAAAAGAUGGCCUCUCGUAGAAGCUAUAGCCUGAUGAUGUGCCCGCGUCCCAUUAGCUUGUUGGUGAGGUAACGGCUCACCAAGGCAUCGAUGGGUAGCUGGUCUGAGAGGAUGAUCAGCCACACUGGAACUGAGACACGGUCCAGACUCCUACGGGAGGCAGCAGUCGGGAAUCUUGGGCAAUGGGCGAAAGCCUGACCCAGCAACGCCGCGUGUGUGAAGAAGGCCUUCGGGUUGUAAAGCACUUUCACCCGUGAAGAUGAUGACGGUAGCGGGAGAAGAAGCCCCGGCUAACUCCGUG
This 484-nucleotide ribosomal RNA is filed under the name uncultured bacterium. RNAcentral's name for it is "bacterial SSU rRNA". It matches the Rfam family "Bacterial small subunit ribosomal RNA", at positions 29 to 507 of the family's 1533-position model. The record is from RNAcentral.